This 817-nucleotide long non-coding RNA is filed under the name Capra hircus (goat). Its description in RNAcentral is "lncRNA (ENSCHIG00010032524.1)". Lineage: Eukaryota; Metazoa; Chordata; Mammalia; Artiodactyla; Bovidae. The record is from RNAcentral.
CUUCCCGACCCAGGAAUUGAACUGGGGUCUCCUGCAUUGUAGGUGGAUUCUUGACUAACUGAGCUAUCAGGAAAGCCCUAAAGUCUGAGACUGCAGUCAAAUGUUAGUCCCUCUUGAGGGUCUGAGUUAAUUAGCCUAGUCCCUGGGAUGACCUGAAUGCAAAGGAAAGACUCCUGUGGAAUAAACCAGUGAGAUUAUCCGAAGGCUCAGCUUCAGUACCAUAAAGACACUCUCCAACAUGGCAGCCACUUGCCACAUAUGGAGAUUCUAGUUUAAAUGGUGAACAAUUAAGAUUAAAUAAAACUUAAAAUUCAGAUCCUCAGCUACAUCAUCCACUUCUGAAGUUCUUUCCCUCACCAUAGAAAAUUCUAUCGGACAGCACUGUCUCAGAGGAUAUUUGCACAAGAGAGAGCCAAGUGGGUACUCCAAAGAAAAGCAUCAGUCCCUAAUAGCAGAACUGAUUUUGCCAUCAAGUAUCCAGAUUCACCCUGGUUUCACCUCAGCAUUUGGGAGAAUGGCUGGUGGGCUCCCACCAAGGGUAAUGGUCAGUUUUUGAAAGACCUCAAAAAUCACUCCUUCCCCCUUUGGCUAGAGGGAGAGGAUGCAAGAAGGGGCUGUAAUCAUAGGUCAUUAGACUGACCUGAGCUAGAGGGGAAUAAGACACUGUCUUAUGGCUACUCCCCGACAUGGCUGGUACCUGUGACAAAGCAAAGCAAGGUAAUUCUCCACUGCAAAAUGUGCACUGCUUAAUAACACCAGCCCAUUUCAGCAAGUCUCACUCAUAUAAAUUGAAAAGUAGCAUGUUUGUUUUUUUUUU